Gossypium arboreum is the source of this 107-nucleotide non-coding RNA. NCBI's taxonomy places the organism in Eukaryota, Viridiplantae, Streptophyta, Magnoliopsida, Malvales, Malvaceae. The record is from Rfam.
AAUCCGUGGUUUGGGCACUUCUGAAUCAACGUUUUAAACCGUUCCCAAGCUUCAUAAAAAAUUUCUCUUUCCAUCUAUCUAAAGACAACAAUUUCUCUUCUAAGUUG